RNAcentral lists this ribosomal RNA (514 nucleotides) under uncultured bacterium. Its description in RNAcentral is "bacterial SSU rRNA". It matches the Rfam family "Bacterial small subunit ribosomal RNA", at positions 12 to 518 of the family's 1533-position model. The record is from RNAcentral.
UUCGAUUCUGGCUCAGGAUGAACGCUAGCGACAGGCCUAACACAUGCAAGUCGAGGGGCAGCGCGGAGUAGCAAUACUUGGCGGCGACCGGCGCACGGGUGAGUAACACGUAUGCAACCAACCCAGUAACAGGGGGAUAACCCGGAGAAAUCCGGACUAAUACCGCAUAAGACCACGAUAUCGCAUGAUAUAGAGGUCAAAUAUUUAUAGGUUAUGGACGGGCAUGCGUCUGAUUAGCUGGUUGGCGGGGUAACGGCCCACCAAGGCAUCGAUCAGUAGGGGUUCUGAGAGGAAGGUCCCCCACAUUGGAACUGAGACACGGUCCAAACUCCUACGGGAGGCAGCAGUGAGGAAUAUUGGUCAAUGGGCGAAAGCCUGAACCAGCCAUGUCGCGUGAAGGAAUGAAGGUCCUGUGGAUUGUAAACUUCUUUUGCAGGAGGGUAAAGUGAGCUACGUGUAGUUCAUUGCAAGUACCCUGCGAAUAAGCAUCGGCUAACUCCGUGCCAGCCGCUGC